CUGGCGGCGUGCCUAAUACAUGCAAGUCGAACGGCUUUUCUAUGGAAGCUUGCUUCCACUGAGAAGAUAGUGGCGAACGGGUGAGUAACACGUGGGUAACCUGCCCAUAAGAGGGGGAUAACAUCCGGAAACGGGUGCUAAUACCGCAUAGUUUUCUUGAUCGCAUGAUUGGGAAAGGAAAGACGGCCUUUGUGCUGUCGCUUAUGGAUGGACCCGCGGCGUAUUAGUUAGUUGGUGAGGUAACGGCUCACCAAGACGAUGAUACGUAGCCGACCUGAGAGGGUGAUCGGCCACAUUGGGACUGAGACACGGCCCAAACUCCUGCGGGAGGCAGCAGUAGGGAAUCUUCCGCAAUGGACGAAAGUCUGACGGAGCAACGCCGCGUGAGUGAAGAAAAGGUUUUCGGAUCGUAAAACUCUGUUGUCAGAGAAGAACAAGUUGGAGAGUAACUGCUCUAGCCUUGACGGUAUCUGACCAGAAAGCCACGGCUAACUACGUGCCAGCAGCCGC
Molecule: ribosomal RNA, 510 nt
Filed under: uncultured bacterium
Lineage: Bacteria
Description: bacterial SSU rRNA
Rfam family: Bacterial small subunit ribosomal RNA
Source: RNAcentral